RNAcentral lists this microRNA (21 nucleotides) under Hydra vulgaris (swiftwater hydra). RNAcentral's name for it is "Hvu-Novel-12_3p (mature (guide))". Lineage: Eukaryota; Metazoa; Cnidaria; Hydrozoa; Anthoathecata; Hydridae. The record is from RNAcentral.
UUUCAUUAUUUUACCUAAAUG